AUACGGGGGAUCCGAGCGUUAUCCGGAUUUAUUGGGUUUAAAGGGUGCGCAGGCGGCCAUUUAAGUCAGCGGUUAAAUCGUGGGGCUCAACCCCAUUCUGCCGUUGAUACUGGGUGGCUUGAUUGCGGUCGAGGUUGGCGGAAUUCGUUGUGUAGCGGUGAAAUGCAUAGAUAUGACGAAGAACACCGAUUGCGUAGGCAGCUGACCAGACCGCAAAUGACGCUCAUGCACGAAAGUGCGGGGAUCGAACAGGAUUAGAUACCCUGGUAGUCCGCACAGUAAACGAUGAAUACUUGUUUUCGGCGAUAUAAUGUCGGAGGCAAAGCGAAAGCGAUAAGUAUUCCACCUGGGGAGUACGCCGGCAACGGUGAAACUUAAAGGAAUUGACGGGG
Molecule: ribosomal RNA, 392 nt
Filed under: uncultured bacterium
Lineage: Bacteria
Description: partial 16S ribosomal RNA
Rfam family: Bacterial small subunit ribosomal RNA
Source: RNAcentral